Molecule: ribosomal RNA, 463 nt
Filed under: uncultured bacterium
Lineage: Bacteria
Description: partial 16S ribosomal RNA
Rfam family: Bacterial small subunit ribosomal RNA
Source: RNAcentral
GACGAACGCUGGCGGCGUGCUUAACACAUGCAAGUCGAACGGAAAGGCCUUUUCGGAGGUACUCGAGUGGCGAACGGGUGCGUAACACGUGGGUGAUCUGCCCUGCACUCUGGGAUAAGCCUGGGAAACUGGGUCUAAUACCGGAUAGGACCGCACUUUAGUGUGUGUGGUGGAAAGUUUUUUCGGUGUAGGAUGAGCCCGCGGCCUAUCAGCUUGUUGGUGGGGUAAUGGCCUACCAAGGCGGCGACGGGUAGCCGGACUGAGAGGUUGGUCGGCCACAUUGGGACUGAGAUACGGCCCAGACUCCUACGGGAGGCAGCAGUGGGGAAUAUUGCACAAUGGGCGCAAGCCUGAUGCAGCGACGCCGCGUGGGGGAUGACGGCCUUCGGGUUGUAAACUCCUUUCGCCAGGGACGAAGCGUUUUGUGACGGGACCUGGAGAAGAAGCACCGGCUAACUACGUG